AUGAAUAUGUCAUUAAUGUCAUCAGCAGCAGCAGUGUAAGGUCUGUUAACUAAAAGAGAUGUGUGUUUAUACUACGUUCGGUCUGAGGGCAGAGGGAGCCGCUAAUGAGAGAGUGCCCCUGACAGGGAUUCCUGUUCCAGAGCCUCCUGGGUCCUACCGAGGAAAAUCAUUUUUUGCCCUCCUUUCUUCUUCCUCACUCUCCCAACCGAAGAUAUGCAACCCCAGCUGACAUUUUGUCAGGAUUUCAUCAACUCACUUCAAAGGGGACAUAGUCUGGGGGCAGCUUCUCCAGCAUAUCAUCAGCCAGCCGGGCCACCACCGCCUCCCGGGUCUCAUCCCCUCCACCAGAGGUGUCCUUGGGUUGGAUGCCUAGGAUGGUGUCCAGCACGUCCUUGGCCAGCUUGCUCUGUCCUGCCCGGAGUCCUUGUGGAGGAUCGUUGGCAAAUUUAAUGGACAUCUGAAGGAGUGUAAUGGGAAACUGCUUAUGAGCCUCGGUGGUCAUCCAGAGGCGGAACGCAUCAUGUACAAGCUCAGUUUCUAUGAUUAUGUCCAUCAGCUCAUCCAUGAAAUC
RNAcentral lists this long non-coding RNA (571 nucleotides) under Homo sapiens (human). RNAcentral describes it as "long non-coding RNA NONHSAT100529.2". Lineage: Eukaryota; Metazoa; Chordata; Mammalia; Primates; Hominidae. The record is from RNAcentral.